UACGUAGGGUGCAAGCGUUGUCCGGAAUUAUUGGGCGUAAAGAGCUCGUAGGCGGUCUGUCGCGUCGGCUGUGAAAACCCGGGGCUCAACCCCGGGCCUGCAGUCGAUACGGGCAGACUAGAGUGCGGUAGGGGAGACUGGAAUUCCUGGUGUAGCGGUGAAAUGCGCAGAUAUCAAGUGGAACACCAGUGGCGAAGGCGAGUCUCUGGACAUUUCCUGACGCUGAGGCACGAAAGCCAGGGGAGCAAACGGG
RNAcentral lists this ribosomal RNA (253 nucleotides) under uncultured bacterium. Its description in RNAcentral is "partial 16S ribosomal RNA". It matches the Rfam family "Bacterial small subunit ribosomal RNA", at positions 524 to 776 of the family's 1533-position model. The record is from RNAcentral.